This 492-nucleotide ribosomal RNA is filed under the name uncultured bacterium. Its description in RNAcentral is "partial 16S ribosomal RNA". It matches the Rfam family "Bacterial small subunit ribosomal RNA", at positions 29 to 507 of the family's 1533-position model. The record is from RNAcentral.
AGUGAACGCUGGCGGUAGGCCUAACACAUGCCAGUCGAACGGCAGCACAGUAAGAGCUUGCUCUUACGGGUGGCGAGUGGCGGACGGGUGAGGAAUACAUCGGAAUCUACUUUUUCGUGGGGGAUAACGUAGGGAAACUUACGCUAAUACCGCAUACGACCUACGGGUGAAAGCAGGGGAUCUUCGGACCUUGCGCGAUUGAAUGAGCCGAUGUCGGAUUAGCUAGUUGGCGGGGUAAAGGCCCACCAAGGCGACGAUCCGUAGCUGGUCUGAGAGGAUGAUCAGCCACACUGGAACUGAGACACGGUCCAGACUCCUACGGGAGGCAGCGGUGGGGAAUAUUGGACAAUGGGCGCAAGCCUGAUCCAGCCAUACCGCGUGGGUGAAGAAGGCCUUCGGGUUGUAAAGCCCUUUUGUUGGGAAAGAAAAGCAGCAGGUUAAUACCCCGCUGUUCUGACGGUACCCAAAGAAUAAGCACCGGCUAACUUCGUG